This 1343-nucleotide ribosomal RNA is filed under the name uncultured bacterium. Its description in RNAcentral is "16S ribosomal RNA". It matches the Rfam family "Bacterial small subunit ribosomal RNA", at positions 28 to 1378 of the family's 1533-position model. The record is from RNAcentral.
GACGAACGCUGGCGGCGUGCUUAACACAUGCAAGUCGAACGGAAAGGCCCUGCUUUUGUGGGGUGCUCGAGUGGCGAACGGGUGAGCAACACGUGAGUAACCUGCCCUUGACUUUGGGAUAACUUCAGGAAACUGGGGCUAAUACCGGAUAGGAGCUCCUGCUGCAUGGUGGGGGUUGGAAAGUUUCGGCGGUUGGGGAUGGACUCGCGGCUUAUCAGCUUGUUGGUGGGGUAGUGGCUUACCAAGGCUUUGACGGGUAGCCGGCCUGAGAGGGUGACCGGCCACAUUGGGACUGAGAUACGGCCCAGACUCCUACGGGAGGCAGCAGUGGGGAAUAUUGCACAAUGGGCGGAAGCCUGAUGCAGCAACGCCGCGUGCGGGAUGACGGCCUUCGGGUUGUAAACCGCUUUCGCCUGUGACGAAGCGUGAGUGACGGUAAUGGGUAAAGAAGCACCGGCUAACUACGUGCCAGCAGCCGCGGUGAUACGUAGGGUGCGAGCGUUGUCCGGAUUUAUUGGGCGUAAAGGGCUCGUAGGUGGUUGAUCGCGUCGGAAGUGUAAUCUUGGGGCUUAACCCUGAGCGUGCUUUCGAUACGGGUUGACUUGAGGAAGGUAGGGGAGAAUGGAAUUCCUGGUGGAGCGGUGGAAUGCGCAGAUAUCAGGAGGAACACCAGUGGCGAAGGCGGUUCUCUGGGCCUUUCCUGACGCUGAGGAGCGAAAGCGUGGGGAGCGAACAGGCUUAGAUACCCUGGUAGUCCACGCUGUAAACGGUGGGUACUAGGUGUGGGGUCCAUUCCACGGGUUCCGUGCCGUAGCUAACGCUUUAAGUACCCCGCCUGGGAAGUACGGCCGCAAGGCUAAAACUCAAAGGAAUUGACGGGGCCCCGCACAAGCGGCGGAGCAUGCGGAUUAAUUCGAUGCAACGCGUAGAACCUUACCUGGGUUUGACAUGGAUCGGGAGUGCUCAGAGAUGGGUGUGCCUCUUUUGGGGUCGGUUCACAGGUGGUGCAUGGCUGUCGUCAGCUCGUGUCGUGAGAUGUUGGGUUAAGUCCCGCAACGAGCGCAACCCUUGUUCACUGUUGCCAGCACGUUAUGGUGGGGACUCAGUGGAGACCGCCGGGGUCAACUCGGAGGAAGGUGGGGAUGACGUCAAGUCAUCAUGCCCCUUAUGUCCAGGGCUUCACGCAUGCUACGAUGGCUGGUACAGAGAGUGGCGAGCCUGUGAGGGUGAGCGAAUCUCGGAAAGCCGGUCUCAGUUCGGAUUGGGGUCUGCAACUCGACCUCAUGAAGUCGGAGUCGCUAGUAAUCGCAGAUCAGCAACGCUGCGGUGAAUACGUUCCCGGG